Long non-coding RNA from Monopterus albus (swamp eel), 202 nucleotides. RefSeq lists it as uncharacterized. The transcript has 3 exons. Lineage: Eukaryota; Metazoa; Chordata; Actinopteri; Synbranchiformes; Synbranchidae. The record is from RefSeq and is a predicted model, not a curated record.
GGUUGUAAAUGUGUCUUUUCUCAGUACGACCAUGUAUCACUCAGAUCUGCGAUGUGUCAUUGUGAGAGUUGGACACUACCAAAAACCCACACAAAAUGUUGUAGUUCUGAGAACAAAGUUUUCCUCUGCAGUUCCGCUGACUAAUGACAACAUCGAGUCCGUCCUACAACAAGUUAGUCUCUUUUUAUCCUAUCACAACAUC